Molecule: non-coding RNA, 1285 nt
Organism: Oncorhynchus mykiss (rainbow trout)
Lineage: Eukaryota; Metazoa; Chordata; Actinopteri; Salmoniformes; Salmonidae
Source: RefSeq, a predicted model, not a curated record
GUCACACGCACACUCAUGCACGCACCCUGAUUUUCAAUGUCUUUUUCUUCGCGACAGAGUUGGCUGAAGAUGUGAAAUACCGUUUCACAUAGUUACGGACCGGGUUGAUGGCUGGAAAGGACAUUUUCCCUUCGUUAAAGGAUAGAUGGUCCGGUUAGCCACGACCAUUAUCCAUUUCAAAUUCAUCAACUCAAAGACGCUUGUCCGCUCCAUCAAAACUCCGUAAGUUUUCCCUCCAUGUGUAGAUCAACCGUUCCUGCCUGUAAAUCCUGGGUAUGCCCACAUCAUUAAUGAAUAAGAUGUGUAGAAAACUGUUUAGCCAUAGUUAAAGGCCUUUCAUAAAGAGUCUGUCAUGAUUGCCUGUGCCACACGUAUUGCUUGUUACCUAAUACUACUGUUGUACAUUUAAUAUCCACUAGCAGAUUUCGUCGCAUUUGCACAAAUUCGGUCAUGUUACUGUGGUCUUUUUAAAUGUCAGUAAAUAUGUGUGUAAAGUGUAUAUGUUUGUUUCACUGUAGAUUUGUUUAAGCCCUCCUAGAAACACCUAAUUAAAGGCCUUUCAUAAAGAGGCUGUCAUGAUUGCCUGUGCCACAUGUUUAACACGUAUUGCUUGUUACCUAAUACUACUGUUGUACAUUUAAUAUCCACUAGCAGAUUUCGUCGCAUUUGCACAAAUUCGGUCAUGUUACUGUGGUAUUUUUAAAAGUCAAUAAAUAUGUGUGUAAAGUGUACAUGUUUGUUUCACUGUAGAUUUGUUUAAGCCCUCCUAGAAACACCUCAUUUCAUCCCACAGCCUUAAUUAAUAAGCUGUGCAGAAGCUGUUUAGCCAUAAGUAAAGGCCUUUCAUAAAGUGGCUGUCAUGAUAAACCUGAAAUUACCUUUAGGAUCUUUUCUUUGGGGUUCUAAUCUCCCCAGGUGUACAUGCACUGAAAAUCCUUAGGCUGGAGCCAUCUUGAAGCUCUGUGCCUGUACAUAUAAAGAUAACUAAAUAGGAAACUAGGCUGAGAAACAUUAUUUAGAUGGCUGUUUAAUUGUUGUUUAAAGCCUGAAAUGGACACAAUGCCAAGGGACCUUGUUUCUAACACACACACACACAUACAGACACACAUUCCUGCUCCAUAGAUAACAAACAUAAGGGCAAUAAAACUGGGGGGUCAUACCAGGUCCAAAAGUUCAAACACAACAACCACAGUUCAACCAGGCCCCUAGACAUCCAUCAACUGGACUACUUCAAAGGAUGACAUAGAGAUCUGAAAUAACACAAAAUAACACGUGACCACGGGAA